This 500-nucleotide ribosomal RNA is filed under the name uncultured bacterium. RNAcentral describes it as "partial 16S ribosomal RNA". It matches the Rfam family "Bacterial small subunit ribosomal RNA", at positions 28 to 507 of the family's 1533-position model. The record is from RNAcentral.
GAUGAACGCUGGCGGCGUGCCUAAUACAUGCAAGUCGAACGCGCCGAGAAGGGAACUUGUUCCUUUCAACGCGAGUGGCGAACGGGUGAGUAACACGUGGGAAACCUACCCUUCAGCGGGGGAUAACCAUCGGAAACGAUGACUAAUACCGCAUAGUUGUUCCAGUCGCAUGACUGGAAUGGGAAAGACGGCUUCGGCUGUCACUGAAGGAUGGUCCCGCGGUGCAUUAGCUAGACGGUGGGGUAACGGCCUACCGUGGCUUUGAUGCAUAGCCGACCUGAGAGGGUGAUCGGCCACAUUGGGACUGAGACACGGCCCAAACUCCUACGGGAGGCAGCAGUAGGGAAUCUUCCGCAAAGGACGCAAGUCUGACGGAGCAACGCCGCGUGUGUGAAGAAGGUCUUCGGAUCGUAAAGCACUGUUAUCAGAGAAGAAUAGCCGAUAGAGUAACUGUUAUAGGUUUGACGGUAACUGAUCAGAAAGCCACGGCUAACUACGUG